Molecule: ribosomal RNA, 637 nt
Filed under: uncultured bacterium
Lineage: Bacteria
Description: bacterial SSU rRNA
Rfam family: Bacterial small subunit ribosomal RNA
Source: RNAcentral
GCUCAACCGAGGAAGUGCUUCGAAAACUGGUAAACUUGAGUGCAGAAGAGGAAAGUGGAACUCCAUGUGUAGCGGUGGAAUGCGUAGAUAUAUGGAAGAACACCAGUGGCGAAGGCGGCUUUCUGGUCUGUAACUGACGCUGAGAUUCGAAAGCAUGGGUAGCAAACAGGAUUAGAUACCCUGGUAGUCCAUGCCGUAAACGAUGAGUGCUAAGUGUUGGAGGGUUUCCGCCCUUCAGUGCUGCAGCUAACGCAUUAAGCACUCCGCCUGGGGAGUACGAUUGCAAGAUUGAAACUCAAAGGAAUUGACGGGGGCCCGCACAAGCGGUGGAGCAUGUGGUUUAAUUCGAAGCAACGCGAAGAACCUUACCAGGUCUUGACAUACCAUGAAAAGCUAAGAGAUUAGUCUUUCCCUUCGGGGACAUGGAUACAGGUGGUGCAUGGUUGUCGUCAGCUCGUGUCGUGAGAUGUUGGGUUAAGUCCCGCAACAAGCGCAACCCUUGAUCUUAGUUGCCAGCAUUCAGUUGGGCACUCUAAGGUGACUGCCGGUGACAAACCGGAGGAAGGUGGGGAUGACGUCAAAUCAUCAUGCCCCUUAUGACCUGGGCUACACACGUGCUACAAUGGGCAGAACAAAG